UUAACCCCAAUUGCCUAAAAAAGAAAAAAAAAAUAAACCUCCUUAACUACCUAGAGUUAAAGGAGUAGCCACUGUGUGGGGUGAUGGGAAGAGUUAAUCAUCAGUCCCUUCUAUUCAGCUUCUCAGCUUUCCCUCCCUUCUUCACACUUCCCUCCUCACUCUCUCAGCUCUUCGGGGACACAGAAGCUGCUUGGUAGCCUUUCCUGUGAAACCAUAUGGCAUUUAAACGAGCCUCAGUUGUGAAUUUUUUAUUUAAAACAUUUUCCUAUCAAACAUCAGCAUUUGAAAAUCAUUUUCAUUCACUCCCCUCUCCCUGUCACAAACACUGCCAAGGGUUAAAGCCAUGUUUUUGCUUUUGUUAAGUAUUAAAAAAAUGCCAUUUAAUUGAAUUUAAAGAAAAGGAAGAGGGGGGAGGGCUGUCCGAAGUUAAGGUGAGAGAUCGAUCUGCGAACAGGAGCAAUGAACGUGGAGGAGCAGGGAACGUGAACCUCCCGCCGGUGAAACCAGUCCGAAAGAUGUGCCAACAUAAGCUGCAAGAGACCUGGUGGAUCACCUAGGCCAACUCCCCUAUUUCACAGGUGGGGAAACUGAGGCCCAGGAAAGUCCUGUGCCUUACCCAACGUGAGUUGGGCGUGAGGAUAUUGAAAACAGCCGGAAGGCGUGGUUUCUAGGUCCUGCUUUGCCACUGCUAAGUCACCGUGUGCCCUGGGGCAGGACCGGCCUCUGCUUCUUCCGCCGGGGCCCGGGCUCUAAGUCCUGCCUGUCACUGGGGACGCCCGGACAUCCUGGCCGAGUUCCCCGCACCUAUGAUCCUUUUCUCUCGAAACCAAGGCUGCGUCUUCUGGGGAGCGCAAGGCCGAAGGACCCGGGGGUCGCGGGGGCUCAGCUUCCAGAGUCCGGCUUGCCCAUUCCGCCGCCUGCCGCAGAACAGCCAGCACCUCCGGCUGCGGGCCCUGUCCUUACUGCUGUGGGUCCAGCCCGCUGCUGAAGGCCCGAGCGCGGCGCGCGAGUCCCGGCCUGGGAAUGUAGGCCCUGAGUUAGGACUCGAGGGGGCGGGGCAAGUGACGUCGCGGCCUGGAGCCGACCUGUGCGGCUAUCUGUUGUCAUGGCAGCGACCAGGAAGGCGAUGUCUCCUUGGGAGCCCCGCCUCCUCAGUUGUCCAUUCCUGGCCGGAGCUGCCUUUGCGUCACGGGGUCAGUGGGCGGAUGGGGUGGCUUUUUCGUCGGCCCAAUAGCAGGGCAGGGCCAGACUCCCCUUUAAGGAAUGUUGUGAAGUGACGUCACCGAACCGAGUUACCAUCUCCUUCGGGCAGCAGCUGCUCGGGUUUGAGAACCAGAACGAGCCCGAGCGCGCGCGACAGAGAACCCGGAGCAGCAGCGGCGACACCCGGAUCCCUGACCCUGAACUUCCCACUCCACCCCACCCCUGCCCGACCCAGGACCCCGGCGCGAUGCCCUCCGACCGGCCCUUCAAGCAGCGGCGAAGCUUCGGUGAUCAUUGAGCGAUACAAAGGGGAAAAACAGCUGCCUGUCCUGGACAAGACCAAGUUCCUCGUCCCUGACCACGUCAACAUGAGUGA
This is an RNA transcript of Vombatus ursinus (common wombat), 1579 nucleotides long. It is a transcript of the gene named microtubule associated protein 1 light chain 3 alpha, with no coding region annotated. NCBI's taxonomy places the organism in Eukaryota, Metazoa, Chordata, Mammalia, Diprotodontia, Vombatidae. The transcript has 2 exons. The record is from RefSeq and is a predicted model, not a curated record.